CCUGCCCACCCCAGGCUCCUGGUGAACCUCACCCAACCAGCCCUGCUGUGUUUCGGGAAGGUCCCAACCGAUGCCACCUCCCGCCACCACUUCCUGCAGGUUCUGUCCCACCUGCAAUCCUACAAAGAGGCUUUCGCCAGCGAGAAAGUGUUUGGGGUGCUCAGCGAGAAACUCUACGGGCUCCUGCAGCUGGACUGGGAGCAGCGGCAGGAGGAGGACACUCUGCUGAUCGAGCGCAUCCUGCUGCUGGUGCGCAACGUUCUGCACGUCCCCCCCGACCCCGCCGAGGAGCAGGUACCGGGCUGGACCCUGCCCUGGUGACCCCAAAGUGACCCCACAGUGACCCCACAA
Long non-coding RNA from Malurus melanocephalus (red-backed fairy wren), 351 nucleotides. RefSeq lists it as uncharacterized. The transcript has 3 exons. NCBI's taxonomy places the organism in Eukaryota, Metazoa, Chordata, Aves, Passeriformes, Maluridae. The record is from RefSeq and is a predicted model, not a curated record.